GUCACUAGGAUGAAUAGUCACUGUGUAUUUAAACUCCCUCACACCAAAUAUAGAAUCCUCCAAGUUUUAGUCUUUAAAUAUUUUCCCAACACUUACGAUAUUAAAAAGCUGAGUGUAAUUAAUUGGUGCCAUAUAUAACUGUGAUAGCUGGCAUCUGGAUACUUUUCCUGUUAUUAAGUUUACCGUUUUGCUGUAACCACUGUAUCGGUGAAGUCGGAAUGCUUCCUGCUUAAUACCUGCUAAAUGUUUUUUUUAUCUUCCACAAGGAAAAGGAAGCUUUAGAAUUGUUAAAUACAGUUUUAUGGGAGUUGAAAUAAAUGCUUAAAAUUUUAUGAGCCCUUUUGACCUUAUCCUUUUAUUAAGAAAUAUAAACUUUAUGGAAUAAGGGCUUUUUAAAAACAAACACUUUUGUGUUCUAGUCCAUGUAGUUAAAUAUAGUUAGCAUAUUGUUGCUGAUCUAAAAACCUAUGUCUGGAUGGCAAGUUAGACUUCUUCAGACUGCGUCAGAUGCUGAAAUGGUCAGGAAUAAGAAAUUACCCACUACCGAUACGGGUACCUAUUUGACAGAAGGCCUCUGUGGGCUUUCUAAGGCUCAAGAAGCUCAACAGCUGGAGAGCAAAUGCUUUUUCUUCUUGAGCAAUGAUGCUCUUUGGGAGCCCUCAGGCUCCCGACUGGUAACAUGUCAGCCUCUUGUGCAAGUUAACAGAAAAUGUAAGGAUCUAAUUUAAGCCAUCCUCAAAUAUGUGAAUUAAAUGGCUAAUAAUUUUAUUUUAAAUAUCAAACCUUCCCGUAUAGGACUUCUGAGAAGAAACCUCAGAUAAUGGAUCUCCCUAGAUACAAGUGGUUUUUAGAUUCUGUAAUGCUGUUAUCUUUUGUUCAACAUUGCAAAAUUUAGAUCUAAGCCUUGGGUAAGGAAUUAAAUAUUACCUCAAUCAAAUAUAUCCUUAAUAGUUUAAGAGAACAGAAUCAGAAGAGAAUCAAUGGCAUGUUUAAUAGGAACCUGGCCAUUUACUGUUUGCUUUUGUAAGAGAUCAAAUAUCUAAUGCCAGAUUUUAACAGCAGCAUGAUAUGCUAGAAAGACCAUCUAAAGUGGUGCCAGGAGACCCGUUUAAUGUAGCCCAGAAUUCAAGUUCCAAGAGUAUAGGCUGUGUGAACUUGACCAAGUCAUGGAACUUCUUUGAGUCUCAAUUUCACACCACAGGUAAUAAGGGUAAAUAUGGGAAUAAACCACUUUCUAGGGUUAGAGUCUUAUGAGAGAUGAGGUUGUGAAAAUGAUUUAUGAAUAGCAAAGCCUGGAUUUGAAUUCUCACUUUAGUGCUUUCUGGAAUUGUAGUUUUGGAUAAAUUACUUAACCCAAUAAAACCAUGUUUUUCAUGAUUUAAAAUAAAGAAAAAAAUCCAAUAUUUGCAAACUAUUACAAAGUAGGAAGCUUCAGAAAUGUUACUUGCUGUUAUAACUUACUAUUUUUGCUAAGUGUCUACAAAUCUAUUGUCCUCUGGAGAUUUAAAAUAAUGUCAUAAAAUUUUAUUUUAAGAUAUUUGAAGUCUAUUCUAGUAGGUCCUUAUUUUCACUUGAAGAUUUGUUACUGCUCACACUUCCUUGUAAAUUAGAGUAAUUUUUAAACUAAGAAUUUAUGUAGAAUGAGCAGCUUUCUUCCUGAAGACAUAAUGUCCCCUCUGUAUGUAAUUUUUUAGCUCUCUGAUGCAGGAGACUUUAAAAGAGGAAUGGAUGUCCAGGAUUUUUUCAUCAUUUACAGUGUGCCAUAAUUAAUUACAAUUUAAAUUGUUUUGUUGGUGUAUUUGGCAUAAAAUAAGGGAAGCUUUUUUGACUCUAUAGAUAUAAGGUCAAUUUUUAAAAAUAAAUUCUGCAAUGAGAAAACAUUUGAAGCCACUGCGAGCUCUUGGUGCCCUUUGCAGAGAACAUGUUUGAGAGGCACCAGUGAUUGCCUGCCUCUUACAAUCCAUUUAGAGAGUCAACCUCAAACCUUUCCUUAGGUAAUGGGAUUAGCACUCUGUUGGGACUGCAAUCCUUACAGAUACAAAUUUGUUUCUAAAUGUCCUAGCUAGUAAUCCUAUGCUCUUUAACAGGUUUUAUAAUGUAAUUGACACUCUUGGAAUGGAAAACAUAGAUGGCAGACUUCUUUCUACUGGAUCAGGAAAUUCAGAGGCUUUAACAGAAAGUACUCUGGAGGAAGUUAAAAUUAGUUGCUCCUGGUCUUUGUUCUUCAAUGAUAGUGUCAUUGAAGGAAAGUGAUGAGUAAGCUGAAUUUAGAAUACAGUGAUCCAUAGAUGCUUUUUAUAAGCUGUUCAACCAUACAUGAAGAAAUUUCCUUUUAAUGUCCUUAAUUUUUAUUAUUUCAAGAUAAAAAUAUAUUAAGAAAUAUUUUCAGUUUAAGCAUAGCGCUUGAUACUUUAAAAACUUUCUGAGCCAGUUAGUUUUAAUAUAAAAGGAAUAAAAGUCGGGCAGCCCCGUGGCUCAGAGGUUUAGCAUUGCCUUCAGCCCAGGGUGUGAUCCUGGAGACCCGGGAUCGAGUCCCACACCAGGCUCCCUGCAUGGAGCCUGCUUCUCCCUCUGCCUGUGUUUCUUCCUCUCUCUCUCCUUCUGUGUCUCUCAUGAAUAAAUAAAUAAAGUCUUUAAAAAAAAAAAA
RNAcentral lists this long non-coding RNA (2647 nucleotides) under Canis lupus familiaris (dog). RNAcentral describes it as "lncRNA (ENSCAFG00845001804.1)". The record is from RNAcentral. Lineage: Eukaryota; Metazoa; Chordata; Mammalia; Carnivora; Canidae.